Molecule: ribosomal RNA, 601 nt
Filed under: uncultured bacterium
Lineage: Bacteria
Description: bacterial SSU rRNA
Rfam family: Bacterial small subunit ribosomal RNA
Source: RNAcentral
GACUUCUUUGACAGAAUUCUUCGGAAGGAAGUUGAUUAAGUUUAGUGGCGGACGGGUGAGUAACGCGUGAGUAACCUGCCUUUGAGAGGGGAAUAACUUCCCGAAAGGGAUGCUAAUACCGCAUGACGCAUAUUUAUCGCAUGGUAGAUAUGCCAAAGAUUUAUCGCUCAAAGAUGACUCGCGUCCGAUUAGCCAGUUGGCGGGGUAACGGCCCACCAAAGCGACGAUCGGUAGCCGGACUGAGAGGUUGAACGGCCACAUUGGGACUGAGACACGGCCCAGACUCCUACGGGAGGCAGCAGUGGGGGAUAUUGCGCAAUGGGGGAAACCCUGACGCAGCAACGCCGCGUGAAGGAUGAAGGUUUUCGGAUUGUAAACUUCUUUUAUUUAGGACGAAUUAUGACGGUACUAAAUGAAUAAGCUCCGGCUAACUACGUGCCAGCAGCCGCGGUAAUACGUAGGGAGCAAGCGUUAUCCGGAUUUACUGGGUGUAAAGGGUGCGUAGGCGGCUUGGUAAGUCAGAUGUGAAAUGUAUGGGCUCAACCCAUGCACUGCAUUUGAAACUAUUGAGCUUGAGUGAAGUAGAGGUAGGCGGAAUUCC